RNAcentral lists this ribosomal RNA (164 nucleotides) under Quercus ilex. Its description in RNAcentral is "5.8S ribosomal RNA". It matches the Rfam family "5.8S ribosomal RNA". From Rfam's summary of the family: 5.8S ribosomal RNA (5.8S rRNA) is a component of the large subunit of the eukaryotic ribosome. It is transcribed by RNA polymerase I as part of the 45S precursor that also contains 18S and 28S rRNA. The record is from RNAcentral. Lineage: Eukaryota; Viridiplantae; Streptophyta; Magnoliopsida; Fagales; Fagaceae.
AAAACGACUCUCGGCAACGGAUAUCUAGGCUCUCGCAUCGAUGAAGAACGUAGCGAAAUGCGAUACUUGGUGUGAAUUGCAGAAUCCCGCGAAUCAUCGAGUUUUUGAACGCAAGUUGCGCCCUAAGCCAUUCGGCCGAGGGCACGUCUGCCUGGGUGUCACGC